This 253-nucleotide ribosomal RNA is filed under the name uncultured bacterium. Its description in RNAcentral is "partial 16S ribosomal RNA". It matches the Rfam family "Bacterial small subunit ribosomal RNA", at positions 524 to 776 of the family's 1533-position model. The record is from RNAcentral.
UACGUAGGGUGCAAGCGUUAAUCGGAAUUACUGGGCGUAAAGCGUGCGCAGGCGGUUGUGCAAAACAGAUGUGAAAUCCCCGGGCUCCACCUGGGAACUGCAUUUGUGACUGUACGGCUAGAAUGCGGCAGAGGGGGAUGGAAUUCCGCGUGUAGCAGUGAAAUGCGUAGAUAUGCGGAGGAACACCGAUGGCGAAGGCAAUCCCCUGGGCAUGCACUGACGCUCAUGCACGAAAGCGUGGGGAGCAAACAGG